This is a long non-coding RNA of Amphiprion ocellaris (clown anemonefish), 659 nucleotides long. The record is from Ensembl. Lineage: Eukaryota; Metazoa; Chordata; Actinopteri; Pomacentridae.
UGAAAACGUUCAGCGUGAUGUCAAGUGCCACACCACCCAUGAGUGAGGGAGCAGCCAUCGGCGCAGUAUCGUUUCAGAGCGGGAGACGUCGCCCACAGACCCGGACUGCACAGCGGACGGAGGACGCUAUGUUCUUCUGCAAGCGCUGCGGAUCACAGCACAAGCCAAAGCAAUGUCCAGCGUUUGGUAAAGUUUUGGUACACUGCCUUUUACAUAUAAAAUCCAGCUAAAGGAAGGUGCCCAGCCAGUUGUGCAUGCACCACGUAGGGUCCCAGCACCGCUGCGUGAAGCCCUUAAAGGAGAACUGGACAGAAUGACCAACCUGGAUGUGAUCAGAAAGAUCCAGGAGCCUACAGAUUGGGUCAACUCCAUGGUUGUCACCAAGAAAAAGAACGCAUCCCGGUCACGCCUCCUUCGGCAUGUCUGUCUUCAACCUGAGCAACGCCAUCAUGGGCAGCGGCAUCCUCGGCCUGUCCUUCGCCAUGGCAAACACUGGCAUCGUUCUCUUUACCGUCCACAGUCAGCGUUCCUCUUCGUGAAUCCUCUGAGCCCUCCUGUGUGCCCCUCAUACCAGGGCCACAACACAAUACUGCAAGGCCUCGACAUAAUUUCCCGAUUCUUCCGCUUCUCUGCUCUUGCUUUUAAUUUCUGAAGCUUGU